AAAAACUUAGUUAAAAUUUAUAACAUUGGCUUGUCAAGCCAAAAUUAUUAGAAUCAAUAGUUUUUA
This 66-nucleotide transfer RNA is filed under the name Pseudoplites inexpectatus. RNAcentral describes it as "tRNA-Asp". It matches the Rfam family "tRNA". Rfam says of the family: Transfer RNA (tRNA) molecules are approximately 80 nucleotides in length. Lineage: Eukaryota; Metazoa; Arthropoda; Insecta; Coleoptera; Cerambycidae. The record is from RNAcentral.